This 490-nucleotide ribosomal RNA is filed under the name uncultured bacterium. RNAcentral describes it as "partial 16S ribosomal RNA". It matches the Rfam family "Bacterial small subunit ribosomal RNA", at positions 30 to 507 of the family's 1533-position model. The record is from RNAcentral.
AUUGAACGCUGGCGGCAGGCCUAACACAUGCAAGUCGAACGGUAACAGAAAGCAGCUUGCUGCUUUGCUGACGAGUGGCGGACGGGUGAGUAAUGUCUGUGAAACUGCCUGAUGGAGGGGGAUAACUACUGGAAACGGUAGCUAAUACCGCAUAACGUCGCAAGACCAAAGAGGGGGACCUUCGGGCCUCUUGCCAUCGGAUGUGCCCAGAUGGGAUUAGCUAGUAGGUGGGGUAACGGCUCACCUAGGCGACGAUCCCUAGCUGGUCUGAGAGGAUGACCAGCCACACUGGAACUGAGACACGGUCCAGACUCCUACGGGAGGCAGCAGUGGGGAAUAUUGCACAAAGGGCGCAAGCCUGAUGCAGCCAUGCCGCGUGUAUGAAGAAGGCCUUCGGGUUGUAAAGUACUUUCAGCGGGGAGGAAGGGAGUAAAGUUAAUACCUUUGCUCAUUGACGUUACCCGCAGAAGAAGCACCGGCUAACUCCGUG